GCUCUGCAGGAUGACGGCAGGAUGAGAGCCUAAAGGUUCGACGUUCCGGCGAAGCAGGAGCGAACGGCGCCUUGGCGCCGGCCCCGCAGGGGCGAAGCGCGGAGCGCUGAGUAAUCCUGCCGCCCCAGCCA
This 131-nucleotide small RNA is filed under the name Gammaproteobacteria bacterium. RNAcentral describes it as "RtT sRNA". It matches the Rfam family "RtT RNA". From Rfam's summary of the family: This family represents a bacterial cis-regulatory element known as RtT RNA. The record is from RNAcentral. Lineage: Bacteria; Pseudomonadati; Pseudomonadota; Gammaproteobacteria.